Molecule: long non-coding RNA, 1144 nt
Organism: Onychostoma macrolepis
Lineage: Eukaryota; Metazoa; Chordata; Actinopteri; Cypriniformes; Cyprinidae
Exons: 5
Source: RefSeq, a predicted model, not a curated record
AGAUGGCCGAUUCAUCCCCACACGAAGCAGAUGAUGGUGAUGGUGAACUAUAUUUGGGGAGUGAAGCAUCUGUCAUCUUCCUGUCUUUGAUGUUUUGGUCAACUGUUGAGUGUUUUGUGAAGCUCUACAUCUCAGACACAACAGCAGAUUUCAGAGCAGCAGAGACUCUUUCCAGCUCAUCACCGUAGCUACUUUGCAACAGAAAUGAAUGACAGAACAUCUGUGGAGCAUCACAGACUGCAGGAAUCACGAAAUGACGAGCAAAGAGGACGAGAGACAGAAGAGAAGCAGAGCAAGAGACGAGUCAGACGGAGCAGCAUUAAUAAAGACACACCAGACUUUUCUCAUGAUUCAGACAGACCUGCAGAGAUUCAGUUUAAUGAUUCACAGAGAGACGCUCACGGAUGAGAUGAUAAACCAUCAAGCUUUUAUUAAAGCAGAAAACAGCAGGAAGCCCUUAAAGCUUCUGUUUAGUUGGCAGCAGCUUUAUAAGAGUUUCUGGAGAAACAGAGCAUGACGUGCUCAGAGACCGACUGAGAGACCCUAACCCUAACCCUUUUUUUCACCUUGAUAAAUAAGUCAGUCUGUGUAUUUUUGUCUGACCGGUUCAUCCUAAGCUUGUGCUUUCAGAUGCAUUAAAGCGUCUCAAACCGAGCUGCUCUGAAAACACCGGAUCAUGAUCUGCUCACGGUAAAUGAACACAGAUCAAUGAAGUGUAAAUAUUUAUUUCAAAUAUCAAAUCGCAGCCUUUGCCAUUUCAUAAUCGCACUAAGCAAUGUUGUUAUUUAGAUUUUAUUGUGAUUUAUCAUGCAGCCCAAGACUAAACUGUUCUUUUUUCCCACCAUAACGUACAUUGGCUCAUUGUUCAGUGUUUGAUGUUUGUACCGAGUACAUAUUUAAAACACUUGAUUUUCUGACUUCAUUUGGUGUGGUUUUGUAGAUUUUUGGACAUUAUACAUUAUUCCAUAUUAGUAUACACAGUAUUCGUAAGUGAAUUUACUAAUAACAGCAUCAAAGGUUGCAUACAUUUGGUUGGUUCUUGAACUUCAGAGUUCAUAUAAUCUGAGUGUCUGUGAAUGUAUUUGAUAUUUGUAAAUAGAGUACAUGUUUUUUUUUUCAGAAUUUGAUUGUUUUACAGUAAUCA